GAUAAGAACGUAGCGAAAUGCGAUAAGUAAUGUGAAUUGCAGAAUUCAGUGAAUCAUCGAAUCUUUGAACGCACCUUGCGCCCCUUGGUUAUUCCAAAGGGCAUGCCUGUUUGAGUAUCAUGAACACCUCAACUCUUGUGGUUUCCCACAAUGAGCUUGGACUGUGGAGGUUUUGUUGGCCCUGUGGUCAGCUCCUCUCAAAUGGAUCAGCUUACCGGUGUUUGGUGGCAUUACGGGUGUGAUAACUAUCUACGCUCGUGGUCGUCUCCAAAUAACCUCCAGUGAUGGAGGUUCGCUGGAGCUUAUAAAUGUCUCUCCCCAGUGAAGACAGCCUUUGAACGUUCGAUCUCAAAUCAGGUAGGACUACCCGCUGAACUUAAGCAUAUCAAUAAGCGGAGGA
RNAcentral lists this unclassified non-coding RNA (400 nucleotides) under soil metagenome. RNAcentral describes it as "partial contains 5.8S ribosomal RNA, internal transcribed spacer 2, and large subunit ribosomal RNA". The stretch from base 4 to 120 matches the Rfam family "5.8S ribosomal RNA", at positions 39 to 154 of the family's 154-position model. The record is from RNAcentral.